Long non-coding RNA from Anguilla anguilla (European eel), 722 nucleotides. RefSeq lists it as uncharacterized. Lineage: Eukaryota; Metazoa; Chordata; Actinopteri; Anguilliformes; Anguillidae. The record is from RefSeq and is a predicted model, not a curated record. The transcript has 3 exons.
UUAGUUUACUCCAGUGUAGAAGUGUCAUGGUUCCUUAUUCCGUUUGCUAUGCGGCGUCCUGGGUUGUGCUAAUUGACGCCGUUUCGUGCUAAUCGGCUGUGCUGUUUCAGGGGGUGCAUGUGAGGCAGAGGGAACCCAAAGGACACCAUUACCAUGCCCAGGAGAGCCAGGAACAGGAGCGAUGAGUGAGGAGAAGGAAAGAGCAGAAGCAUCUACAACCGCUCGUCCCUCUACUGAAUCAAACAAACGGCAUGACACAAUCUGGAGGCUUAGAUGCAUCGCCAUGCUCCUCUAAAUUGCAUAUUAUAGUACAUCUCCCUGCUUAGGCUGCCUAUUUUAUCAGCUAGUUUAAUUAUCUCUUUCUAUAACCUGCUCAACCAUUUUAUGUUUGCUCUGCUAGAUUCCGCAUUACAUUUCUGUUACCGUUCAUUCAAUCAAUAUUAUUACACCAGGCUGGCCCGCAGAGGAUUUGUUCCCCCUCUAUAGCAGGGUUCUUCUGGAGAUUUCUUAUUUUUUCCAUUUCAGUGUUUUUUUUUUUCUUUAUUUACUUCAAUUUCAAACUUUUUAGGGGUUCAGGCUUGGCAUUUUGCCCAAUUUUCUUUUGUAUAUCCACAGUAAAAUGUAUUUGUGACAGUGUUUCUGGAAAAGCACCAAAGAUAUUAAAUUGAAUUAAAUACUUACUAUAUGUAAAACUACCUGUGCUUAUCCUGGUACCAAAUAUA